AACUUCCUUACUACAAUGCCCUAAACCUAACCUCUUUACCAUUGAACUUCUAUACAAGAACUGAAUCUUUCAAAGUAAGGUUAAUACUUUAAUAUUUCGCUAUUAUAGCGAUUGUUUUUCACAAUCCAAUUCUAAUCUCAUCCAUCUGCAAAUGUUCGACAAAAAUGAACAGAUUCUACUUCGGCCGGACUUAACCUUCUUACUUCGGUGCUCGGUCUCAACAACCUCACUUGAAUUCCAUCCCAAGAAAGGACAAACUCGAGCAGCGAAGCGUAGACGUGCUGAAAUAUGAAUAUUUUCGAUUUCUUCCCGCGCCCCCGGGGGAGAAUCCUUUCAGCCGCAGAUGCUACCAGAGUUCACAGCGGCAACCAGUUCCUUCGAGUCAUAAAUACCUGGCGCGAUCUUCGGGGAAGGGUUUCUGCGACCCUAAAUCAAGGUCAGCAACGAUGUACGUCGUCGUAGUCGCAGCUACUCUUCACUUUCGCAUCCUCUAACUUCCUCGCGCCUCUUUCCCUAGACAGUCAGUGUGUGCAACAGCAGGGAAUAUGAUUUAGUACUUUUGACAGGAUUAAUAAUUUUCAGCGGCAGGGAGGUAGCAGAUGUCUCGACAUUUUCGCACCCCAUUCUCGCGUCUUCUACGAGUGCCAUCGUCGACUGCUAACGUCUCCUUCUUCCCUCUAUUUUACUCUGUCUGCAGAGCAAGGGCGCUGAACCGACCCAGGUAACAUCGGCGAGAAAUGUGCGUGUUGAGCAGGAUACACGCAUUUUGAGGUUAUGAUGGAAUUGGAUUUUUUACUCGGAGUGGUUUGAAGAUACAGGGGUUGAUUUAAGGCAUAAUGGAACAGAUUUGAUUGGGGAAAUAAUUCGUGGUGUUUCUUUUAUAAAUGGAGAAGCGAAAAGAAUGGAUCUGAUGGAGGAAUUCGACGAUGUAGGUUAAUUUUGAAAUACAUCCUACUCAGUUUUUUCCUUCAUUAUAUCUUAUUAUAGAUUUCUCACAAAACUUUUAUUUUCUGUUGAGGAAGCACUUAUAAUUUAUUUCUCAUCGUUGCAACGACAUGAAGAGCGAGAAAGGUAGUUAAGCAAAAAUGAAAAAUUGUUAACGUUUACUUGAUCAAGUUUUUGUAAGGCAGUUCCUAAUGACCUGUAGAAAGCGGCAGGAACUUCUAGUUUGUUUCGUGGAAAUAAUCAUUCGGAUAAUGCGGCUGGUUAACAUUACCGGUAGCGUUCCAAACUUGGAACCAUCCACACUGUUGACAAUAACGCCCCGAUAGUGAUCUCGAAAGGAGGUGUGGGUGACAAUACGGGUGACAAGCGUGUUACGCCAGUGCGAACAGGAUUUAACAUCGCCGUCUCAUUUAGUUAAAUCCUUUUUUUUCCCUUUGGAACAGAUUUAUGUCUGUCCAAUUGGAUAGAUUUACAUCUGCGUACACCUGCUCAAUAUAUUAUGUUUUAACACGUCGUUGCUUUGCUUAAUACCAUCGUAAUUUAUAAUAAUUUCAUAUGCCAAUGUUGCUUGAAAUAUUUCCUCUUGUAAAUUACAUUAAGACAUUUUUUAAAUGGAGAAGUGCAUAAUUUAUGUUGGAGGUUAUUUAACUAAUUAAAUUUCUCUAAAAUCAA
Bombus impatiens (common eastern bumble bee) is the source of this 1617-nucleotide long non-coding RNA. RefSeq lists it as uncharacterized. The transcript is spliced from 3 exons. The record is from RefSeq and is a predicted model, not a curated record. NCBI's taxonomy places the organism in Eukaryota, Metazoa, Arthropoda, Insecta, Hymenoptera, Apidae.